RNAcentral lists this ribosomal RNA (392 nucleotides) under uncultured bacterium. Its description in RNAcentral is "bacterial SSU rRNA". It matches the Rfam family "Bacterial small subunit ribosomal RNA", at positions 365 to 774 of the family's 1533-position model. The record is from RNAcentral.
UGGGCAAUGGGCGAAAGCCUGACCCAGCAACGCCGCGUGAGGGAUGAAGUAUUUCGGUAUGUAAACCUCGAAAGAAUGGGAAGAAUAAAUGACGGUACCAUUUAUAAGCUCCGGCUAACUACGUGCCAGCAGCCGCGGUAAUACGUAGGGAGCAAGCGUUGUUCGGAUUUACUGGGCGUAAAGGGCGCGUAGGCGGCGCGGUAAGUCACUUGUGAAAUCUCUGAGCUUAACUCAGAACGGCCAAGUGAUACUGCUGCGCUAGAGUUCUGAAGAGGCAACCGGAAUGCUUGGUGUAACAGUGAAAUGCGUAGAUAUCAAGAGGAACGCCUGAGGCGAAGGCGGGUUGCUGGGCCGACACUGACGCUGAUGCGCGAAAGCCAGGGGAGCAAACG